UAGUAUUUCAAAACGAGUUUCCGGAUGGGAAAUAUUUUAAACUAAUAGUUGUGAAUUUAUGUAUAAACUCUGAAUGUGAAUGGUGUAUGAAUGUAUGUAUAUUCAUAAGUGGGAGUUUCCGGGUGGAAAAUAUUUUAAACUAAUAGUUGUGAAUUUAUGGAUAAACUCUAAAUGUGAAUGGUGUAUGAAUGUAUGUAUAUUCAUAAGUGGUGGUUGUAUCUUGUUUGAUGUAUCUUGUACUUGUGUGACGCUAUACAAAUACAUAGGAGACUAUGUCCGUGUGAACAGUGAA
RNAcentral lists this long non-coding RNA (292 nucleotides) under Ananas comosus (pineapple). RNAcentral describes it as "long non-coding RNA (ACOM_LNC022490)". Lineage: Eukaryota; Viridiplantae; Streptophyta; Magnoliopsida; Poales; Bromeliaceae. The record is from RNAcentral.